UUUCCAAAAAAUUGGACUUAUUUCAAGAAUUUCCUUCCGAAAAAUAUUUUAAAAAUUUCUACUUU
Molecule: transfer RNA, 65 nt
Filed under: Rhodomonas sp. CCMP768
Lineage: Eukaryota; Cryptophyceae; Pyrenomonadales; Pyrenomonadaceae
Source: RNAcentral